This 255-nucleotide ribosomal RNA is filed under the name uncultured bacterium. Its description in RNAcentral is "partial 16S ribosomal RNA". It matches the Rfam family "Bacterial small subunit ribosomal RNA", at positions 524 to 776 of the family's 1533-position model. The record is from RNAcentral.
UACAGAGGCCCCAAGCAUUAUCCGGAAUCACUGGGCGUAAAGGGUGUGUAGGCGGUCAUAUUAGUCUUUCGUAAAAGCUCUCCGGCUUAACCGGGGAAAUGCGGAAGAAACGGUAUGGCUACGAGGACGUAAGAGGUAAAGGGAACUCAUGGUGUAGGGGUGAAAUCCGUUGAUAUCAUGGGGAACACCAAAUGCGAAGGCACCUUACUGGUACGCUCCUGACGCUGAAACACGAAAGCGUGGGAAUCGAACGGG